CGGGGCGGCUCCGGGAGCUCCUCGGGCACCGGGCCGGGGCUCUGCCCCUGCGGCUCCCCUCGGGCACCGCCGUGGGGAGGGGGCGGAGAGACCGCGGUGCCCGCCCGAGCUCGGGGUGUGCGCUCUGCGGCUUUGCGCUUUGUUAAAAAGCCCUUCUCCUAAAGCUGCCGCCACCUGGACGCGUAAUUGGGAGUGAAAACAUUUACCCGCCGGCUGCUUUCAUCGGGAGGGAAUCGAGCAUUGGUUCUCGCUCGGAAACACUCGGUGUGAGGCAUUUUGGAGUAUUUGGCAUGUGAAUGAACACCUCUGACCUCUGUUCUGUCUGAGCCAACAAGCUGCCUUCUCAGCUGUGGCCUCAGACACAUGAACGCCUCCCACCAGGAUUAAACACUCACCUUUUGGGGGAAAACAUGCCAAGUUAUGCCAUCACCACCUCUGACUGCCAUCCUACUAACUUGUCUGAUCUCCUCCAUUCCUGUUUUCAGAGUCUGAAACAAGGGGAGAGGAGAUUCCCGCUCCAUUCAUAAUCACAGUAGUAAGCACACCUGUAGUACUUGCCUUUUGAACGUAUUUUCUGCAUGUUGAUUCAUUUACUAAUUAAAUUUAGUAAUUUUUAAAAAACCCUAAUCCUUUCCCCUCCCUGCUAUGCCACCGUUCUGCUCUUUAAAAAGAGGAAAGAAAAAAGCUACACUUUGCCAAGUGAGUCAAAAAUAAAUGUGUUGUUCAAGUUUGCAAUAUGUUUUGGCUGCAGCAGUGUGUGAGAGCACAUUUGGUUCCCGAGUCAGAUGAUGAAGGACGAGGCUUUCAUAACACAGGACCCGUCUGUGCCACUUCACAUCAACAGCUUCUUCCUCUCUUAUUAAGUAGGAGGAAUACGAAUUGCCAGCAGCCCAAAUAUGGCAGCCACCUGUGGAUUUUGGCAUUGCCUCCUGAGAACUGAUGAAGCCGAGUGCUGUAGCUGUGAGAAAAACACAAUCUUCCCAUUCAUGAGAAACUUUGAGUGCUGACAGUGGCAUGGGUCAGGCUGGGGGUUGUUGGCGUGUUCCCUCAUGGGGCGAUGCCUGAGGGCAGCCAGCACCAGCACUGGCACAGGGAUUUGGGAAUCUUGAGUUGUCACUGAACCUCUCUUCCUGCUGCCUCAGCUCUCCAGUGACUACUUAGACAGAUGUUUUCCUUAGUGACCCAUCUGUCCUUUUCCACCCAAGUUAAAAGCUGGAUAAUUUCUGAGUGACAGAUUUCUAUUUUCGAGGACUUGAGGCCCUUCCAGUACUUGAAGGGAGCCUACAAGAAAAAUGGAGAGGGACAUUUCACAAGGACCUGGAGUGACAGGACAAAGGGGAUGGUUUCAAACUGAAAGAGAUUUAGAUUAGAUAUACACAAGAAAUUCUCUGUGAGGACGGGGAGGCCCUGGCAUAGGGAAGCUGUGGCUGCUCCAUCCCUGGAAGUGUCCAAGGCCAGGCUGGACAGGGCUUGGAGCAGCCUGGGAUGCUGGAAGAUGUCUCUACCCAUGGCAGGGAACUGGAUGAGCUUUAAGCUCCUUUCCAACCUAAACCAUUCUAUGAUUUUACAGUUUGGAAAAGACUAGCCAAUCCAACAGGAGCUUCACAUUACCUGUACCUGUCCUAGUCUGUGACCCCCAUAUCUCACAAAGCCCCACUCCUGGAAUAAAGAGGAGUAGGUGCUUUUUGAUGAGGAUCCUCAGACUCUCCCUCAGCCCCAUGUUUCUAAACUGGCCAGUCAUCCAAAUCAGGCACUGAAAGGUGACAGAGAGGCAACUCAGAAACAUCCCUGUCACAUAAACUUCUGUUUUACAGAGAAUUUGUCUAUUUGGGGGAUGAGGGCAAGAGUAAUUACAGCAUCUGAAUGAGGAACUUCAAGUUUCCUGUGUAGUAUGGGACAAAAAUAGGUUCUUCUAAAGUGUGAUUCAGAGGAACUAAUUUUAGGUCCCUAAAAUAAGGCUGUCUAAAUACUCCAUGACAUGUUUCAAGUUGGAUGGGGAGGCGGGUUCAGUGUCACCUACAGCACAUACGCUGAAUAUUGUUCUUUUUCUGCAAUGCCUGUUUGGAUCUGCGUGUUCUAAUGCAAGUGGAACACUUCUGUUCAGCAGAAAUAAGAGGCCCUUGUGAAGAGGUUCAGGUGUUGUUAUGGGCACCGGUAUGAUCUUUGAAAUUGUAUUACAUAGACAAUGCUGACCAAAUAGGUGCAGCAUUGUUAUCCUUCACUUUGCAUUCCCAGUGGUUCUGUUUAUGAAAGUUAAAUCCAUCCUCAAUUACAGCCAUUCACAAGAUAUUGUGUGGCCUCUGCUCUUUUUCAGCUGAACUUGGUGGGUUACUGUGCUUACAAUGGACAGUCUUUUGUUUGUACAAGAGCAGGACCUCAAUUCUCCCUGGUGAAAUAAAUUAAUUUAUAGCAAAA
Molecule: long non-coding RNA, 2415 nt
Organism: Parus major (Great Tit)
Lineage: Eukaryota; Metazoa; Chordata; Aves; Passeriformes; Paridae
Exons: 2
Source: RefSeq, a predicted model, not a curated record